Molecule: long non-coding RNA, 1641 nt
Organism: Onychostruthus taczanowskii (white-rumped snowfinch)
Lineage: Eukaryota; Metazoa; Chordata; Aves; Passeriformes; Passeridae
Exons: 2
Source: RefSeq, a predicted model, not a curated record
GAGAAUGAUGGGAGAGAGCACAGCAGGCUGGUGUGUAGCUCUGAUAGUAGGGUAAGGAAAUAUGGAACAAGGACUUUCUUUGCAGUUAGGCUUUUGUUCCCAAAAUGAAUUUUUAAUGGAUCAUAUUCUGUUGGCAUGCAAAGGUAAAUAGUCUGUAUGAGACCCUUCUGCUCUUGUUGACAGCACCAUGUUCCUAAAUUUUAAAGCAGUGGUUUUGUUUGAGAAGUAGAUUUCAUAGGCUGUGUCUGCUAAACCAUUUGGCAUUCUGCACACCAGGACCACAAAAUGAACUUUUGCUGACAAGAAGGAGGAAAAAAAUGGGAGGAGGAGGACAGAAUAAUAAAAUAUAUUAGUAGUAUGUGGUUAUGGAAGAAUCUGCUGCAAAACCAAAAAAAUGCUGGAAGUUAUAGUAGUCAGGGAGCAGCUGGAGAGAACAACAGACAGCACAAGCAAUAGAACACGUGGGAAAUCAUGGGAAAUGAAGCAUGAAGAGGAAGGAUUGAAAUCAAGUGAAAAUCAAAGAAGCCAAUGCCACUAAAGCUAUCAGUUUAGAGUAAUUAAUUUGGAUUUGCCCUUCUCUUUGGCUGCUUUUAAAGAUAUUAUUAUUAAUCCUUAGAUGGAGUCCAGUCAUUCACCUUUACUUAUUUCUGUAAUCUGCCUUUGCUUUUCUGUUGGUUUUCCUGGAUAAGACAUGUAUGGGGAUGAGCCAGAGUGGGGGCUGGGAUGAACUGUUCUCACUUACCUGUAAAAUAUCUCUUUUAAUGUCUUGCAGCCAAAAAAGAAGCUUGGUGUCAGGCAAACCAGAUUGAAGAAGAAAAUAUUAGAGGAAAAUAUUGUAUUGAUCAGGUUAAUCUUAACAAUGUCAGGAGGAAUUAUAAGUAGCUCAAGAUUGUUCUGCAAAAUUCUACAGUCUCAUGGACCACCUCACAAAUUGGUGUGAAACGGAGAAAGGUUGAAGGGUACAUUACUGAACCUUCUCUGGAGUUACAGUAAGUUUUUAAAUGGAAACUGAGGUUUCACAAGAGGAAAGAGAGCUCCUGGAUGGAGAUACCUACAUGAAGCUUCAUCAUUCCUAGACCUUGGGAGGAAGAGGACAGUAGAUGGGAGGCUGCAACAUUCAGCUCCUAAGCUGGAGAAUCUCUCUUUCCCUCCCAUGCUAUGAAAUGUGUACAAGAAGCACUGACCAACACACGCAGCCUCAGUCACGUCCCAAGACCUCUGCCUAGUACCCCAGCACUUGCAGGGAUGGGAGUACAGCAGCAGCUAUGCUGUGGUUUAAAACAAGGACAAAUUCCUAGCCUUUAGUUGUGUGGGGCUGUCUGAAAUGAGACAGGGUUGAGACCAAUCCAGUAAUGUCUGUUGGAGCCCAAAGCCUCCCUCUGCAGCCAGCCAGACACGUUCCCCAGGCUGCACCCGGCAGUGCAGAGCUCUGCUGUGGCUCAUCUGCCUCCUCCUCUGUGCCCAGUUUCAAAUCUCUUCAGCAAUAUGUUCUGUAACAAUUAAGGAUUUCUGGGGCAACUCCAUUAAGAUCAGAAAGAUAUCCUUCUGCUUUGAAAUAUAUGAGCAUGAAUGAUCCAUUCAGCACAGCACCCCUUGGCCAGUUUUAUCUCUCUGAUGAUCAAAUAUAUUUUUAAUUAUCAA